Molecule: non-coding RNA, 366 nt
Organism: Leptonychotes weddellii (Weddell seal)
Lineage: Eukaryota; Metazoa; Chordata; Mammalia; Carnivora; Phocidae
Source: RefSeq, a predicted model, not a curated record
UUUCGAAUACAAUAGCCUGCUAGCCUACAUUCCCUUUCCUGUAUACUCUUCAGUCGUCGCCCAUAGAAACGCCCUCGAAGACCCUCCCGAGGGAGGGAAAGCGCGUGGUGGGGGAAAGGUGCCUUUGAAACAUCCAUGUGUCAACAUCAAGUUUGCUGUUGUAAAUGUUUUUCUGAAACUCAUGAAAGAGCCAAUCUGAGGUGGAGCACUCAUGAAUGGCAUUAGUCUUCAUAUAAGAAGAGACCAGAGAGCUAGCUAGAUCUCAUCCCACCAAGUGAGGCUACAACAAGGAGUUAGUAGUCUGCAACCUGGAAGAGGACUCUCACUAGAAUCUGACUGUGCUGGCACCCUGAUCCUGGACUUCCA